UAUAAUAUUAACUUAAAUUAAAUAAUUAUCUUAUUUUUAUCGGGGUGUUACAGAAGACAACUAGAACAUCAUGUAUUAACACAAAUUUUCAUGAUCAUGACAAAACACACAAACCCUAAUCUCCCAUUCAUGGAUUUUUCCCACCGAGCUAUGUCUAACUAGGAACCCAUCUUUUAUCAAGAAGAUGAUGAGAUUGAGUUGAGAUCCUUGUUGAUGCAAGCUUUCUUCUUUUUCUUCUUUCAAGUUUUUCUCUUUUCCUCAUCUCUUAUUUCUCUCUUU
This 279-nucleotide long non-coding RNA is filed under the name Lathyrus oleraceus (garden pea). RNAcentral's name for it is "Pisum sativum (pea) long non-coding RNA (PSAT_LNC016692)". The record is from RNAcentral. Lineage: Eukaryota; Viridiplantae; Streptophyta; Magnoliopsida; Fabales; Fabaceae.